CUCUGCAGACACGGGAGACGUUGGACCCCGCGCCAAGGCCGAAGGAGCAACCGCCCCGGUAAACUCUCAGGCAAAAGGACCGGUCUGCGGAC
This 92-nucleotide non-coding RNA is filed under the name Paracoccaceae bacterium. RNAcentral's name for it is "Rhodobacteraceae bacterium Glycine sequence". It matches the Rfam family "Glycine riboswitch aptamer". Rfam says of the family: This family represents the bacterial glycine riboswitch. Glycine riboswitches usually consist of two metabolite-binding aptamers domains with similar structures in tandem. The record is from RNAcentral. Lineage: Bacteria; Pseudomonadati; Pseudomonadota; Alphaproteobacteria; Rhodobacterales; Paracoccaceae.